AAGUCUUUACAGAGAAAGCUUUAUGCACCAUUGGAUGAGCCUGCACUUGAUUAGUUUGUUGGUGGGGUAAUGGCCUACCAAGACUUUGAUCUAUAGCUGAUCUGAGAGGAUGAUGAGCCACAUUGGGACUGAGACACGGCCCAAACUCCUACGGGAGGCAGCAGUAGGGAAUAUUGCACAAUGGAGGAAACUCUGAUGCAGCGAUGCCGCGUGAGUGAAGAAGGCCUUUGGGUUGUAAAGCUCUUUCGUCGGGGAAGAAAAUG
This 263-nucleotide ribosomal RNA is filed under the name uncultured Pseudomonadota bacterium. RNAcentral describes it as "uncultured proteobacterium partial 16S ribosomal RNA". It matches the Rfam family "Bacterial small subunit ribosomal RNA", at positions 189 to 453 of the family's 1533-position model. The record is from RNAcentral. Lineage: Bacteria; Pseudomonadati; Pseudomonadota.